UACGAAGGGGGCUAGCGUUGUUCGGAAUUACUGGGCGUAAAGCGCACGUAGGCGGGUCGUUAAGUCAGGGGUGAAAUCCCGGAGCUCAACUCCGGAACUGCCUUUGAUACUGGCGAUCUUGAGAUCGGAAGAGGUGAGUGGAAUUCCCAGUGUAGAGGUGAAAUUCGUAGAUAUUGGGAAGAACACCGUGGGCGAAGGCG
RNAcentral lists this ribosomal RNA (200 nucleotides) under uncultured bacterium. RNAcentral describes it as "partial 16S ribosomal RNA". It matches the Rfam family "Bacterial small subunit ribosomal RNA", at positions 524 to 723 of the family's 1533-position model. The record is from RNAcentral.